CACUAAGAAGCUAAACCGGGAUUAGCAUUAGCCUUUUAAGCUAAAGAUUGGUGGCCCCCAACCACCCCUAGUGA
RNAcentral lists this transfer RNA (74 nucleotides) under Allocyttus niger (black oreo). RNAcentral describes it as "tRNA-Lys". It matches the Rfam family "tRNA". From Rfam's summary of the family: Transfer RNA (tRNA) molecules are approximately 80 nucleotides in length. Their secondary structure includes four short double-helical elements and three loops (D, anti-codon, and T loops). Further hydrogen bonds mediate the characteristic L-shaped molecular structure. tRNAs have two regions of fundamental functional importance: the anti-codon, which is responsible for specific mRNA codon recognition, and the 3' end, to which the tRNAs corresponding amino acid is attached (by aminoacyl-tRNA synthetases). tRNAs cope with the degeneracy of the genetic code in two manners: having more than one tRNA (with a specific anti-codon) for a particular amino acid; and 'wobble' base-pairing, i.e. permitting non-standard base-pairing at the 3rd anti-codon position. The record is from RNAcentral. Lineage: Eukaryota; Metazoa; Chordata; Actinopteri; Zeiformes; Oreosomatidae.